CCAGCUCGCUACAAGUGCUACCCAUCAUUCGGUUCUGAUGAUGACCAGAACUUCCUGUGCAUGUGUAACCGAACAUGGAUGUUUUCUGGCGACAAAUGUUCUGUUCCACACCCCUUAGCCUACAUGACGGGGUUCUUCAGGGC
RNAcentral lists this non-coding RNA (143 nucleotides) under Heterosigma akashiwo. The record is from RNAcentral. Lineage: Eukaryota; Raphidophyceae; Chattonellales; Chattonellaceae.